GCCUGAAAUAAGCUGUAUCAUGAUAUCAUUUUGAUCUUAACCUCCACUACUAAAUAUCUAAUGUAGUCAUUGAAAGUGGCCUCUCUUUCGUCAGAGUUGAAUCCAUUAAAUGAAAAUCUCAAGGAAAACAUUUAAGUGUUAUACACAGAUGACAAAAUCCAUGUUCGCAUCUCUAUUCGUACAUCAAACGGAAGUUUUGUGUACUUUAUAUAUGAGGUAUAUCUCUGGUCUACCUAAAAG
This 240-nucleotide long non-coding RNA is filed under the name Vigna radiata. Its description in RNAcentral is "long non-coding RNA (VRAD_LNC017779)". The record is from RNAcentral. Lineage: Eukaryota; Viridiplantae; Streptophyta; Magnoliopsida; Fabales; Fabaceae.